RNAcentral lists this ribosomal RNA (485 nucleotides) under uncultured bacterium. RNAcentral's name for it is "partial 16S ribosomal RNA". It matches the Rfam family "Bacterial small subunit ribosomal RNA", at positions 28 to 507 of the family's 1533-position model. The record is from RNAcentral.
GAUGAACGCUGGCGGCGUGCUUAACACAUGCAAGUCGAACGGGAUCCAAGGGGUGCUUGCACUUUUUGGUGAGAGUGGCGAACGGGUGAGUAACACGUGAGUAACCUGUCCUUUUCUUUGGGAUAAGCAUUCGAAAGGGUGUUUAAUACCUUAUGUUCUGUCUGCCUCGCAUGGGGUGGGUGGGAAAGGCUUUGGCCGGAUUUGGGUGGGCUCGCGGUCUAUCAGCUUGUUGGUGGGGUGAUGGCUUACCAAGGCUUUGACGGGUAGCCGGCCUGAGAGGGUGGUCGGUCACAUUGGGACUGAGAUACGGCCAAGACUCCUGCGGGAGGCAGCAGUGGGGGAUAUUGCACAAUGGGCGAAAGCCUGAUGCAGCGACGCCGCGUGGGGGAUGAAGGCCUUCGUGUUGUAAACUUCUUUUGCUCUGAACAAGGCAUGCCAGUGGGUGUGUUGAGUGUAGGGGUUGAUUAGCGCCGGCUAACUACGUG